GAAACUUAAAGGAAUUGGCGGGAGAGCACAGCAACGGGAGGAGCGUGCGGUUCAAUUGGGUUCAACGCCGGAAAACUCACCGGGAGCGACGAUUACAUGAAGGUCAGGCUGACGACCUUACCUGAUUUUUCGAGAGGUGGUGCAUGGCCGUCGUCAGUUCGUACCGUAAGGCGUUCUGUUAAGUCAGAUAACGAACGAGACCCUCGCCCUUAAUUGCCAGUUCAUUCUCCGGAGUGAGCGCACAUUAAGGGGACCGCUGGCGCUAAGUCAGAGGAAGGAGAGGUCAACGGUAGGUCAGUAUGCCCCGAAUCUCCCGGGCUACACGCGCGCUACAAAGGAUAGGACAAUGGGCUGCGACACCGAGAGGUGAAGCUAAUCCCGAAACCUAUUCGUAGUUCGGACUGAGGGCUGUAACUCGCCCUCACGAAGCUGGAUUCCGUAGUAAUCGCGGAUCAACAUCCCGCGGUGAAUAUGCCCCUGCUCUUUGCACACACCGCCCGUCAAACCACCCGAGUUGGGUCUGAGUGAAGGUGCUCUUUUUGGAGCGCUUGAACUUGGGUUCAGCAAGGAGGGCUAAGUCGUAACAA
This 587-nucleotide ribosomal RNA is filed under the name uncultured euryarchaeote. RNAcentral's name for it is "bacterial SSU rRNA". It matches the Rfam family "Archaeal small subunit ribosomal RNA", at positions 851 to 1441 of the family's 1478-position model. Lineage: Archaea; Methanobacteriati; Methanobacteriota. The record is from RNAcentral.